UACGAGUGCUUCAAGCGUUAUCCGGAAUCAUUGGGCGUAAAGGGUGCGUAGGCGGCUGUGUUAGUCUCGUCUUAAAUCUACCGGCUCAACCGGUAGGCUGGAUGGGAAACGGCACGGCUCGAGGACGGGAGAGGUCUCUGGAACUCAUGGUGUAGCGGUGAAAUGCGUUGAUAUCAUGGGGAACACCAAAAGCGAAGGCAAGAGACUGGCCCGCUCCUGACGCUGAAGCACGAAAGCGUGGGUCGCGAAUGGG
This 253-nucleotide ribosomal RNA is filed under the name uncultured bacterium. RNAcentral describes it as "partial 16S ribosomal RNA". It matches the Rfam family "Bacterial small subunit ribosomal RNA", at positions 524 to 776 of the family's 1533-position model. The record is from RNAcentral.